CUGAGUCUGCCUCAAACUUCUGACUUCCCUCUGCAAUAGACUCAAUGAUCCAUCCUGGGUGUACCCUACCUCUUGGCCUAUGACAGCUGGUAUAGCUUUCAACCCCCACUCAACCUUGAAUUGGAAAAGCAGCUUUCCGUGUCCGCAAGCGAGUAUGGUUCCGACCUCGAUGUGGGACGCGCGAUGAGAGGCUCCAUCCACAGUGACUACCACUGUACCUCAAUGCUUUAUUAAAACAGUCUGGGCUCUGUCAAAACAACCACUUCUGUACAGUUUUAUGGAGGGCGGGCACUUUGCUGGGACGUCCUGCAGAGGAAUGCCCAACACGAGACCUGCAAGAUGCAGAAGCGCUACGAAAAAGGGCUUCGUGUACUUCAGCUACUUCAAAGAGGGACACAGAAUGUAUUCUCAAAGUCGAAAUAAAAACACUACAGUAUACAAAAUUACGCUUGCUGUACAAGAGUUGUUA
Oreochromis aureus is the source of this 469-nucleotide long non-coding RNA. RefSeq lists it as uncharacterized. The record is from RefSeq and is a predicted model, not a curated record. NCBI's taxonomy places the organism in Eukaryota, Metazoa, Chordata, Actinopteri, Cichliformes, Cichlidae. The transcript is spliced from 4 exons.